This 1112-nucleotide ribosomal RNA is filed under the name Rhodanobacter xiangquanii. RNAcentral describes it as "bacterial SSU rRNA". It matches the Rfam family "Bacterial small subunit ribosomal RNA", at positions 365 to 1467 of the family's 1533-position model. The record is from RNAcentral. Lineage: Bacteria; Pseudomonadati; Pseudomonadota; Gammaproteobacteria; Lysobacterales; Rhodanobacteraceae.
CGGGCAAUGGGCGCAAGCCCUGAUCCAGCAAUGCCGGGUGUGGGAAGAAGGCCUUCGGGUAGUAAAGCACUUUUAUCAGGAGCGAAAUCUGCAUGCUUAAUACGUGUGCAGUCUGACGGUACCUGAAGAAUAAGCACCGUCUAACUUCGUGCCAGCAGCCGCGGUAAUACGAAGGGUGCAAGCGUUAAUCGGAAUUACUGAGCGUAAAGGGUGCGUAGGCGGUUCGUUAAGUCCGUCGUGAAAUCCCCGGGCUCAACCUGCGAAUGGCGAUGGAUACUGGCGAGCUAGAGUGUGUCAGAGGAUGGUGGAAUUCCCGGUGUAGCGGUGAAAUGCGUAGAGAUCGGGAGGAACAUCAGUGGCGAAGGCGCCCAUCUGGGACAACACUGACGCUGAAGCACGAAAGCGUGUGGAGCAAACAGGAUUAGAUACCCUGGUAGUCCACGCCCUAAACGAUGCGAACUGGAUGUUGGUCUCAACUCGGAGAUCAGUGUCGAAGCUAACGCGUUAAGUUCGCCGCCUGGGGAGUACGGUCGCAAGACUGAAACUCAAAGGAAUUGACGGGGGCCCGCACAAGCGGUGGAGUAUGUGGUUUAAUUCGAUGCAACGCGAAGAACCUUACCUGGCCUUGACAUGUCCGGAAUCCUGCAGAGAUGCGGGAGUGCCUUCGGGAAUCGGAACACAGGUGCUGCAUGGCUGUCGUCAGCUCGUGUCGUGAGAUGUUGGGUUAAGUCCCGCAACGAGCGCAACCCUUGUCCUUAGUUGCCAGCGAGUAAUGUCGGGAACUCUAAGGAGACUGCCGGUGACAAACCGGAGGAAGGUGGGGAUGACGUCAAGUCCUCAUGGCCCUUACGGCCAGGGCUACACACGUACUACAAUGGUCGGUACAGAGGGUUGCAAUACCGCGAGGUGGAGCCAAUCCCAGAAAGCCGAUCCCAGUCCGGAUUGGAGUCUGCAACUCGACUCCAUGAAGUCGGAAUCGCUAGUAAUCGCGGAUCAGCUAUGCCGCGGUGAAUACGUUCCCGGGCCUUGUACACACCGCCCGUCACACCAUGGGAGUGGGUUGCUCCAGAAGGCGUUAGUCUAACCGCAAGGGGACGACGCCCACGGAGGUU